GAGCGAACGCUGGCGGCAGGCUUAACACAUGCAAGUCGAGCGGGCGUAGCAAUACGUCAGCGGCAGACGGGUGAGUAACGCGUGGGAACAUACCUUUUGGUUCGGAACAACACAGGGGAAACUUGUGCUAAUACCGAAUAAGCCCUUACGGGGAAAGAUUUAUCGCCGAAAGAUUGGCCCGCGUCUGAUUAGCUUGUUGGUGAGGUAACGGCUCACCAAGGCGACGAUCAGUAGCGGUCUGAGAGGAUGAUCAGCCACAUUGGGACUGAGACACGGCCCAAACUUCUACGGGAGGCAGCAGUGGGGAAUAUUGGACAAUGGGCGCAAGCCUGAUCCAGCCAUGCCGCGUGAGUGAUGAA
Molecule: ribosomal RNA, 359 nt
Filed under: uncultured bacterium
Lineage: Bacteria
Description: bacterial SSU rRNA
Rfam family: Bacterial small subunit ribosomal RNA
Source: RNAcentral